GACGAACGCUGGCGGCGCGCCUAACACAUGCCAGUCGAACGAGCGAGCGAGAGCUUGCUUUCUCAAGCGAGUGGCGAACGGGUGAGUAACGCGUGAGGAACCUGCCUCAAAGAGGGGGACAACAGUUGGAAACGACUGCUAAUACCGCAUAAGCCCACGACCCGGCAUCGGGUAGAGGGAAAAGGAGCAAUCCGCUUUGAGAUGGCCUCGCGUCCGAUUAGCUAGUUGGUGAGGUAACGGCCCACCAAGGCGACGAUCGGUAGCCGGACUGAGAGGUUGAACGGCCACAUUGGGACUGAGACAUGGCCCAGACUCCUACGGGAGGCAGCAGUGGGGAAUAUUGCACAAUGGGGGAAACCCUGAUGCAGCGACGCCGCGUGGAGGAAGAAGGUCUUCGGAUUGUAAACUCCUGUUGUUGAGGAAGAUAAUGACGGUACUCAACAAGGAAGUGACGGCUAACUACGUG
This 466-nucleotide ribosomal RNA is filed under the name uncultured bacterium. RNAcentral describes it as "partial 16S ribosomal RNA". It matches the Rfam family "Bacterial small subunit ribosomal RNA", at positions 28 to 507 of the family's 1533-position model. The record is from RNAcentral.